RNAcentral lists this long non-coding RNA (3244 nucleotides) under Podarcis lilfordi (Lilford's wall lizard). The record is from RNAcentral. Lineage: Eukaryota; Metazoa; Chordata; Lepidosauria; Squamata; Lacertidae.
ACUUCCAUCAACCUCAUCUAAAGAUUUUUCAAUCUACAUUUCUUAAUUUUUCUAUUACUUUGAAUUAUCCUUAACUAAUGGCUCUCUUCAUAAUCUUCUCUGCAAUAUUUCGCAUAAUCCUCCUUACAAAACUUCUUGCAGUCCUACUAGCAUAAUCUGUUUGUUACAAUUGCUUUUCAAAUAAUUCAAAUAUUUACUCCAGUCCUCUGAGAAUCUCUGGUCCCGCAGGUUUCGGAUACUUCCUGUCAUCAUAUCUAAUUCUGCAUUAAUUUCGUCUGACUUUCUUCUUUCGUCAGUAAUUCUUCUUGUUUCCAUUUCUGUGCCAGUAAUAUUCUUGCUGCCGUUAUUGCAUGUAAAACAAUUUACUAUCCUGUUUGUUAAUAUCCUCCCCUACAAUGCCAAGUAAAAAUGCUUCUGGUUUUUUUAUAAAUGUAUAUUUCAACAUCUUUUUCAUCUCAUUAUAUAUCAUUUCCCAGCUUUUCACUUUCUUGCAUUCCCACCACAUGUGAUAAAAAGAUCCUUCUUUUUCUUUACAUUUCCAACAUUUGUUACUUAUUUUAGCUAAUUUCACUGGUGUAAUAUACCAUCUAUACAUCAUUUUCAUCACAUUUUCUUUCAAAGUAUUGCAUACUGUAAAUUUUUAUCCUUCCUUCCACAGUUUUUCCCACUCUUUUAGCUGUAUAUUAUACCCAAAAUCCUUGGCCCAAUGUAUCAUAACCGACUUUAUCUCUUCAUCUUUCAAAUGCCAUUCCUGCAGCAAUUUAUACAUUUUAGACAAUAUUUUACAAUCAUUAUUCAAAAGAUUUUGAUUUUGGGGGAUAUGAAGGCGAUAAACAAGCGGCAGAGGAAAUCCUGGGCUAGUCUAUACAAAAUGACCUGGCCAAGCUCAAGGCCAUGAAGAAAGCAUACAGGGCCAUCAGGAGCCAUUCACAAUGCAAGUUGAACUGUCCUUCCCCCAUCCUCUGAAGUGUGAAGAGAGACUGGAGAUUGGGAAGGUUGCCAGGGUAGCUGAGUGUGAUGUCACAGGAAGCGCUUUGGGCCCUUGACAUCAAAAAAGGCCGGAUCUGUCUUGGGCAGGCUGGCUAAAGGUAGGCUGGGAGAGAUGCCUUGGACUCCAGUGAUGCACUGCUGUGGGGAACCAGCCCCUAUUGACAUGACCAUGCUGCAAGAUUUGUAUUCUCUCCAUGCAAACUGAAGGUAUAAAUCAUAUUUCUUAAAGCUGCGACAGCCUCCUCCGUGUCUAAAUUCUCCAAAGAUCCCUGGAAUCCUGUGCACGAGUCAGCAGGGAUUGGGGGAGGGGGAGGCUGUAACAAAAAUACUUCUUAUAUCAUACCCUCCAACCUUUCUGUGAUGAAAAUAGGGAAGGCCUAUUUAAUAAUAAUAAUAAUAAUAAUAAUAAUAAUAAUAAUAAUAAUGUUAUUAUUUAUAUCCCACCCAUUUGACUGGGUUCCCCCAGUCACUCUGGGCAACUUCCAACGUAUAUAAAAACAUAAUAAAACAUUAAACAUUAAAAAAAACUUCUCUAUACACGGCUGCCUUCAGAUGUCUUCUAAAGGUUGUAUAGUUACUCAUCUCCUGGGCUCUGAGGUCAUAUAACUCCAUACUGUACAAUUUCUCUGAUGUAAAUAGGGAUGCCCUACCACACCCUCCAACAUUUCUGCGAUGAAAAUAGGGACAUCCUAAGGAAAAGUGGGACAUUCGGGAUCAAGUCAGAAACCGGGACGGCUUCUGUAAAACCGGGACUGUCCCUGGAAAACAGGGACACUUGGAGAGUCUGCUAUGCCAUGUUUUAAGAUCUGCAAGGGAUCUGUGGUUCACUUUUCAACAACAUGGAAGACAGAUCUUUCAGUCUUAGGGCAGCUCGGAUGUGGAACGCCCUCCCAUCAGAUUUAGGAUUGUCCUCUGCACUGACAGUGUGACAGCAGCAACUUAAGACACAACCUUUUCAGUGGGUUUAUUGGGGUGAUUGAGUUGAAGAAAGAACUGCAGUCCUUGCUACUGAAUUGCUUUCUUUCAUUACAGGGGUCUCUAUGUUUGGACAUGUAUUUUACUGGAAUGCUUUUUUUUCCCAAUCCUCUGCAUGUUUUAUUUUAAUUAAAUGCUGUGUACCACUCUGGGAACUUCUAGGUUAAAGGGUAUAAGAAAAUGAAAUGAAAGGAAAUAAAGUAAAAUAAAAUAAAAUAAAAUAAAAUAAGGGAUGGGCACACUUCAUUUGGGAGAAUCAAACUUAAAAGUGUAUUAUCUUUUCCAACAUUACAAACAUAUUCCAACAAAAAAGUCUAAAGAAAAUUAGUAAAGCCUGUCUUAGUAGAAGUCUGCUUAGUAAAGUCUAUCUUUUCCCUUUUAACAUUUUCAAUAUUUGCCUCUAGACAUUUUAAUCUUAAAUGUCAUUCUAAAGUGCACUUCUCCACCGAAAGGUCCAAUCACAUGGCAGAUAUUUAAUUAUCUAAAUCAAGUACCCUCCAAGAAAUGAAUGUUGGGGUUUAUUUCUUGAAGACUCUUACUCAGCUUGUAUUUUCUCCUGCUUAAUUGAAACUAAUUUUCCUGUUGUUACAGAAAACACCUGGAAUGGGAAUGAUAUUUCCAAGAGGUAAUUAUGAAAUCAAAGUGAUACUUAUUUGCUUAAUUGCUAAAUCUACAUAAACUGAGGAAUCUCAGUAAUGCUCACAGAUUCUCCCGCAAUAAAAAAUGCAUAAUUUUCUUCUUGUCCUGCUUACCUUGUUCCAAACAAAAGCCCUUUUGAUGAUGUCAACAGACAAAACUGCUUUUGAUUGAACUUUUUAUCUCUAAACUGACAAUGAUUCCUGUGAUUCUGGGGUAGUUUAAACCAUAUCUUCAGCUGCCUUUGGUGUAAGUAUAUUUGGAGCUUGAGGGGUGGUUCAGGAUCCUGGCUGAGUUUUAAUUGGGGUAUAACAAAGUCUCUCUUGCACAAACACAUGCAUGCGAAUGCCAACACUUAGCUGAGGAGCAGUCAACUAAACUAAGUAUUAAACUUCAACAUCAACUUCAUUGGACUGGCCAUGUUGUGCACAUGUCUGAUUAUCAUCUUCCAAAACAACUACUGUAUUCUGAACUUCAAAAUGGAAAGCGUCAUGCUGGUGGUCAGCAAAAGAGGUUUAAAGACUCUCUCAAGGCAAAUCUAAAUAAAUCUAGUAUAAACACCGACAACUGGGAAACACUGGCCUGCGAGCACUCCAUUUGGAGAACAGACUUUACCAUAGGCGUCAUGAGCUUUGAAGAUACC